Molecule: ribosomal RNA, 503 nt
Filed under: uncultured bacterium
Lineage: Bacteria
Description: partial 16S ribosomal RNA
Rfam family: Bacterial small subunit ribosomal RNA
Source: RNAcentral
AUUGAACGCUUGCGGCAGGCUUAACACCUGCAAGUCGAGCGGGGUGAUGGUGCUUGCACUAUCACUUAGCGGCGGACGGGUGAGUAAUGCUUAGGAAUCUGCCUAUUAGUGGGGGACAACAUCUCUAAAGGGAUGCUAAUACCGCAUACGUCCUACGGGAGAAAGCAGGGGAUCACUUGUGACCUUGCGCUAAUAGAUGAGCCUACGUCGGCUUAGCUAGUUGGUGGGGUAAAGGCCUACCAAGGCGACGAUCUGUAGCGGGUCUGAGAGGAUGAGCCGCCACACUGUGAAGUUGACACGGCCCAGAUUCAUACGGGAGGCAGCAGUGGGGAAUAUUAGACAAUGGGGGGAACCCUGAUCCAGCCAUGCCGCGUGUGGGAAGAAGGCCUUAUGGUUGUAAAGCACUUUAAGCGAGGAGGAGGCUCUUUUGGUUAAUACCCAAGAUGAGUGGACGUUACUCGCAGAGUAAGCACCGGCUAAGUCUGUGCCAGCAGCCGCGGUAA